This 504-nucleotide ribosomal RNA is filed under the name Mermitelocerus annulipes. RNAcentral's name for it is "partial large subunit ribosomal RNA". It matches the Rfam family "Eukaryotic large subunit ribosomal RNA", at positions 755 to 1243 of the family's 3401-position model. The record is from RNAcentral. Lineage: Eukaryota; Metazoa; Arthropoda; Insecta; Hemiptera; Miridae.
GCACUCCCGGGGCGUCUCUAUCUCAUCGCGAGAGGAGGCGCACCUAGAGCGUACACGCUGAUACCCGAAAGAUGGUGAACUAUGCCUGGCCAGGACGAAGCCAGGGGAAACCCUGGUGGAGGUCCGCAGCGAUUCUGACGUGCAAAUCGAUCGUCGGAGCUGGGUUUAGGGGCGAAAGACCAAUCGAACCAUCUAGUAGCUGGUUCCCUCUGAAGUUUCCCUCAGGAUAGCUUGCGCUCGGAUGAAACGAGUCUCAUCCGGUAGAGCGAAUGAUUAGAGGCCUUGGGGUCGAAACGACCUCAACCUAUUCUCAAACUCCAAAUAGAUGAGAACCCCGGCUUUCUUGAACCCUGUUUAUGAAGCCGGGGGCUCGGAUCAGAGUGCCAAGUGGGCCAAUUUUGGUAAGCAGAACUGGCGCUGUGGGAUGAACCAAACGCGGAGUUAAGGCGCCUCAAUCGACGCUCAUGUGAAACCAUGAAAGGCGUUGGUUGCUUAAGACAGCAG